Molecule: long non-coding RNA, 2591 nt
Organism: Orcinus orca (killer whale)
Lineage: Eukaryota; Metazoa; Chordata; Mammalia; Artiodactyla; Delphinidae
Exons: 2
Source: RefSeq, a predicted model, not a curated record
UCAGAACUAUACCAUGUGAUAGACACAUGUGCCCGCACAGAACGUGGAUAUUAGUCAGCCUGUGGUGCCGAGUUCUCCUCUCUCUUCUUAUUGAUCCUUUGGAGUAUUUCACCCCUCUCCGCCCCUCGUUUUCCCCUGGGAGAAGCCCGAAGGACAUUUCUCCUUCUUCCGUAGCAAUGGGAAGAGGACUGGCAGGGAGGGUGGCAAGUUGUUGGCGGCCGUUUGACUCUGGGUUUCUCGUACCUGCUCUGGCAUGUUUAACGGCAUGUGGCACAAGUGCUGGCACGUAGGAGACACCCAGCAAACGUUCACUCUCCUUUCAGCUGUCAUUAGCACAGGUAAUUAAGAACAGGAGCUGAUCGACUUCACGUAUCUGUGCAGAGAUACAUCUGUAAUUAAAGUUUUAAUUAAAGAAACACCAGACCAGGCAGAUGGUUCUUAUCCCCGCAUCCUGUAAACUAAACAGCCAUGGCUUUUUGAUCUUGCAAACAAGCAAAGCAGAGGGUAGCAGCGGCGCUCCCAGAAGUGGACCGGAGGGGAGAGAUAGUCUUAUUAACUAGCCAUAAUCUAAUUUUGGUAGCACUCUGUGCGAUGCCAAAGCCAGGGAUAAUCAUCGCAGUUUGAAAUGGAAAUUCAAUACAUCAAAGUUCUGUCCCAGCCAAAGCUUUUAAGCCUCAAGUCAAGGGCAUUACCAGAGCCCAGCUGGUAUAUCACAAGGCAUGUGGUUUCGUGCUAGAUCACAAAAGCUGACAAAGUGUUAUUUAGGAUCAUCAGCUAAAUACAGUAUUAAAUUAGCACGCCAUCAUCCUGACUUUUCAGGUUCUUGCCCCCGUGUAGCAGUGCAGGACUGAGAUGGGACGGGUGCUGCCUGCCUCAUGUGUGUCCUCUGUGCUGUGUCACGGUGACCUGAGUGACCAGCCAGCUGCAGAAUGAAAAAACGAAACCAUCACUGGGAUACCAGGAAAAGACAGAUCUCAGGUCUUAUCAUUUCUGGGAAAAAACCUGCCCCCAGUGGCCCUGGCCAUUUGCUCCGCUAUGUCCCUGUCAGCAGGAGGCCAGAGCCGUGCAGGCAGGGGUCAGGCAGUUCACUUUGACCUCUUGGGGUUCAUCCCCUCCUUGACCCCCAAUUUCUUACCCUUCCUCAUAGUCUUUUACUUAUCCAGGCACACGGUUUUCUGGCAUUCAGCACAGGGAGGCACUUAUACACCUGAACUCUCUACUAAUGGAUAUAGGUGUUUUUUUUUUUAAAUUUAUUUUAUUUAUUUAUUUUUGGCUGUGUUGGGUCUUUGUUGCUGCGCGCGGGCUUUCUCUAGUUGCGGCGAGCGGGGUUACUCUUCGUUGCGGUGUGUGGGCUUCUCAUCGCGGUGGCUUCUCUUGUUGCGGAGCAUGGGCUCUAGGUGCGUGGGCUUCAGUAGUUGUGGAUUGCAGGCUUCAGUAGUUGUGGCUCACGGGCUCUAGAGCGCAGGCUCAGUAGUUGUGGCACACAGGCUUAGUUGCUCCACGGCAUGUGGGAUCUUCCUGGACCAGGGCUCAAACCCGUGUCCCCUGCAUUGGCAGGCGGAUUCUUAACCACUGUGCCACCAGGGAGGCCCUAUAGGUGUGUUUUUACCACCUACAUCUCACUCAUUUGUUUCCCACUUGGUAGAACCAAUACUGAAGAUGUUCCUUAUUUCACAGGGAAACAUCUUAGAGGGUCAGGAGGGCAGUUGUCUGCUUUGCUUAAUGGUGUGUGACCCUAUCGUUCCUGUUUCUUUUAAAGGAAGUAGGGGGUUCUCACUGGAAGAAGAGCCCGUGUGACACCAGGAUAUGUAUCAGUAUCUUCACAUUAAAGACUUGUCCCCAGAACGGUAGAACUCGGAAGUACUUUAGCUCACGUUAAUACCAUUUAUAAAUCAAAACUCAGUCCUCUUAGGAGAGCGGCCGAAUCCAUAGUGCUGUGAUGGUUGUGAGUGACUGAGUGUGUAUGACGGGUGGAUGGAAAUGUUUUCACCACCUUUUUGCUCGGGAAUGACUUUUAUUUGACGAGAUGUUCUUUGUUUUUAGAAGUCAAUUAAAUGUCGGCUACUUUGAGUAAGCAGUCUUUUGUGCUUGUAUCCAGGAAAUUUGGUCAGGCCUGUACAGAACUGUGCUACUGGGUUGGCAUUUUGCAUGCGGAAUUUGAGCCUGACUAUGGAAUCUGUUUCUUCUCCAAUCUGGUUAGAGACCUGAACACGUGACCUCUGAGGCGGCAGCACAGUUUGAGAUCGUAGAAGGCCCCUUACGAAGUGACACUGGUGCUCCUCGGAGCACGGCGGUUAUGGCUCACUUCUAGGUUUCUCCACAGAGAGAAGCAUCCGCAAACACACCUGGAAUAGCUCUCACCACACACUUGUUCAUGGGCGCAGCAAGAAGAGAGAUCCACAGAGCUGGAGCCGUGAGGGCUGACAUAUUGGAAUGAAAGCUGGCAGAAUUCGUAGGGAGAGCUUUGCCAUCCUGCCAGCUCCAUAUCUGGCUUCAAGACAAUUCUAUUAGUGAAUUAAUUGUACUCAAAACCUGAAAUUAAUUUGAACUGAAUGUUACUAAAAAGAUUAAAGUGACCCAGUCUUGCUUCA